RNAcentral lists this small nuclear RNA (23 nucleotides) under Arabidopsis thaliana (thale cress). Its description in RNAcentral is "snRNA_13183". Lineage: Eukaryota; Viridiplantae; Streptophyta; Magnoliopsida; Brassicales; Brassicaceae. The record is from RNAcentral.
AGAUUUGGUUCAGAUUAUACCAA